Molecule: unclassified non-coding RNA, 3910 nt
Filed under: Penaeus monodon (black tiger shrimp)
Lineage: Eukaryota; Metazoa; Arthropoda; Malacostraca; Decapoda; Penaeidae
Description: bromodomain-containing protein 1-like, transcript variant X2
Source: RNAcentral
UUGUUUUGGUGAACAAUGGCGGCCAAGCGGCUCUCCUAGGAUCGAUCUUGGCGUUUUAAAACCCGGUUAUUUUCCUUUUUUGAAGUCCUUAGAUAUAUAAUACAUCAUGCCUCGGCUGGGCCUUGGCUAUGACAUGGACCAGUUCCUGGACCACUGUCGUAUGACAAAACCUCCGUAUGAAUGCCCGCAUGCAUCAUGUGGCAAGAUUUACCGCAGUCUAGCAGGCAUUCAGCACCACAUGAACACAUAUGACCAUGAGAAUCCUCCUCCAAAUGUGGUCACUCCAAAAUCAGCCCGGAAGAAAAACAUGAAGCGACCCCCAUCCCCUGUAGCAAGCCAGGAUCCAGAGCCACCUUCAAUACCAUACUCGCAUGACAUGAAAACUGUGGAGUUUGAGGUUGAUGGAAAAUUGACACGGUUAUCUGUCUAUGACCCAAUAGAAAUUUUAUCAAAGCACGAUUUUCCAUUUUGUGAUCAGGAGGAUUACGAAGCUUCAAUGCCUCCGGUUGUAGAGGAGCCCCCACCUCAGGAGCAAGCACGCACACCAACUAUCAAGCCAUUGCCCAAGACACCAACAUCCAAAACCUCCCUAUCAAAAACUCCGGUGCAGAAAACUCCUCUCCAGAAACCACCAAAAGCUCGUACAGGUGAUAAAGAUAGAGGGGUAGAUGUCCAACGUUACACAAUAGAAGAGAAAAAAAGCAACAAACUCCCAGAAGCGUCAUUUUCAGUCAUAGAGGAUUAUUACAAGAAUCUUCCUGAUGCUCCUCCACAACCAUCCAACUAUCAUAGGUUCAUAGAGAAAAGUCUUGAAGAAUUAGAUGAAGAAGUGGAGUAUGACAUGGAUGAGGAAGACAGAGCAUGGCUGCAGAAAAUGAAUGAGAAGCGAGCUGUGGAUGAACUCCCACCUGUAGAAAUGGAGACCUUUGAAUUACUCAUGGAUCGUUUAGAAAAGGAAUCUUUCUUUCAGGCUCAGUCAACUGGCAGAGAUUCUGGUGUGCCAAUAGAUGAGGAUGCUGUAUGCUGUAUUUGUAUGGAUGGAGAGUGUCAGAACAGUAAUGUUAUCCUAUUCUGUGAUAUGUGCAACUUAGCAGUGCAUCAGGAGUGCUAUGGAGUUCCUUACAUCCCAGAGGGGCAGUGGCUAUGCAGGCGGUGCUUACAAUCUCCAUCACGGGCUGUUGACUGUGCUCUUUGUCCUAACAAGGGUGGAGCAUUUAAACAGACAGAUGAUGCUCGCUGGGCUCAUGUUGUUUGUGCCAUGUGGAUUCCUGAAGUUUGUUUUGCAAAUACUGUUUUCCUUGAGCCAAUAGACAGUAUUGGUAAUAUACCUCCUGCUCGCUGGAAACUCACAUGCUACAUAUGCAAGCAGAGAGGAGUGGGUGCUUGUAUCCAGUGUAAUAAAGUAAACUGCUAUACAGCUUUCCAUGUGACCUGUGCUCAACAAGCAGGACUGCAUAUGAAGAUUGAUGCAGUAAGAGAGACAAGUGUGAAUGGCACAUCAGUUACAGUGCGAAAAGCAGCUUACUGUGAUAUGCACACCCCAGCUGACUCAGAUGCGCGUCCUCAGCUCGAUGAGAUUAUGGACUCGGCUAAGAAAGCAGCGGCAAAAGCGGCAUCACGACAGAAAAUGAAGAAAGCUCGUAAGAUUUUGGCUGAGAAACGGUCUGCUGCUCCAAUUGUUUCAGUUCCCACAAUUCCAGCUGACCGUCCCAUACUCCCUACCUAUUGUGGUGUUGUCAACUCUGUGCCCAUCCUACCCAGUGAAAAUAUUCAGAAAUUGGCAUCCCUGGUCAGUAUGCCUAAAAGGUCACAGUUCAUGCACCGCCUCUUAGCCUUCUGGACCUUGAAGCGGCAAUCGAGAAAUGGCGUCCCGCUGCUGAGACGGCUUACAACCUCACAUUCCCGCCGUAGCAAUCGGUCACCUGAGGAGAAGAACACAGACUAUAAGGAUAAGGAGAAAAUACUCAGUGAGGCAGAGAGACGCAGAGAAGAAAUUAAGUAUUGGCAGAGGUUACGUCAGGAUCUUGAAAAAGCAAGGCUGCUCUGUGAACUAAUUAGAAAGAGGGAAAAAACCAAGAGAGAGCUAGUCAAGGCAAAAGCUGAGGAGAAGCAGGUGCAGUUAGCUCCUCUAGUGCAUCUACUACUGCAGACCAUUGAUAUAAUUCAAGAGAAGGAUCAACAAAUGAUAUUUGCUGAACCAGUUGACUUUGAUGAGGUUCUUGACUAUCUUGAUGUGGUAAAACAUCCCAUGGAUCUUUCCACCAUGAGACAGAAGGCUGAGACACAUCAAUACCGCACAAUUGAUCAGUUUGCAAGUGACUUUGAGCUGAUGAUUGACAACUGUCUCACCUAUAAUGCAAAAGAAACCAUUUUCUAUAGAACAGCUGUUAAGUUGCGGGACCAGGGUGGUGCUAUCAUUCGUCAACUCCGAAGAAAUGUUGAGAACAUUGGAUUUGAUAUGGAAACUGGGUUGCUACUACCACACCGACCCAAACCUUUGCCAGAGUACUCAGAUAAUAAGAUUAUCAAGGAAGUUGAUGAUGCCCUGGUUGCUGAUGGUGAUGAUUCAGCAAGUCUAGAAGAUCGAGAGAAAGCACUGCUUGAGCUCCUAGAUAAAGCAAACAUGAUUCGACAUCAUGUAGCGCGCAUUAAGCGUGUAAAACUCAUCAGACGAGAGAUUGGGAUAGUGCGCAGGAAACUGGCAAUGAAUCAUUCUGGAAAUAGUCAUUACAAGGCCAGUGUAACAUACUAUGACAGUGAUGACGACAGUGAUAAGGAUGAUUCCGAUAUAGAUAAUAGCUCAGUCAUUGAUGACGAGGCCGAACCUGGUGAGCCAAGCAGGCCAAGCACACCACCUCCGCUGGCAGCAAAAAUGGUUAAUGUCCACCUGUCCCACACCCCUAAGACACCAUUGAGCAAUCGAAAGGUACCUCUGUCAUCAUCACCUAUGACCACUCCUGUGCAGCGAGGUCGUCAACGCAAGACAGGGUUCAGAGGCACACCAAAGGAUGACACCAAACAGAAGCGCAUUGACUCCUUCUUCGAGCGAAUCAAUAAGAACUCUCAGAGAGAAUCAGAUCAUCCUGACCAUGCAGCCACACUUGCAGAUGAAAGUAAAGCAACAAAACCAGAGAAAGAAGAUUCUGCUCAGGAGACUCCCAAGAAGCGAGGUCCAGGGCGCCCUCCUAAGCGUCUUAGAACUCUGUCAGGUCCAUCUGCAAGUCCCCCAGCCAAAAAGCAAGUAGAGAGUGACUCAGCAGAGCCUGUGACACCAACCAAAGAAAGCAGUGAAGAUGGGCCAGAGGAAGAACCCCCCUCUGUACCUAGCUCUCCAUCUGGGGUGAAUCGCCGCACAUCAGUACUCUUUACGAAAAAAGCUGGAGCACUCUUUAAGAAGCCAGACAGCUCAUCUCCCCAGAAGCGCAUAUCACGCCAGCGUCGAGCAUCAGAGAGCACACAGGGCACCAAUAGCGAUGUUGAUAUUCAGUCACCAGAAAAGACACCAAAGUCAGCAAACAAGAAAAAGGGACAUCUAAUGAGAUACCCCCAGAGACUGAUGAGGAUACACACUCUGAAUCCAACUCCAGCCUGACGGAUACAGAGGAUGACACUGCUUCAGACUCGGAUUCGGAAGGUGUUGGUAGUGAGUCUGACUCUAGUGUGGCAGUUGAUUCACCUGGCUCAGGUCACACUGGAGAUCAGAUUCCUCUAGAACCUCUUGACCUUGUUUGGGCUAAGUGUCGGGGUUACCCUUGGUAUCCUGCUUUGAUUAUCAAUCCCAAGAUGCCUAAAACAGGAUACUUCCACAAUGGUGUUCCAAUUCCAGUACCUCCAGAUGAUGUUUUAGCAUUGGCUAAUAAUUACCCUUCACCAAUGUACUUAGUGUUGUUCUUUGAUAAUAAACGCACUU